RNAcentral lists this long non-coding RNA (515 nucleotides) under Phoenix dactylifera (date palm). Its description in RNAcentral is "long non-coding RNA (PDAC_LNC018875)". The record is from RNAcentral. Lineage: Eukaryota; Viridiplantae; Streptophyta; Magnoliopsida; Arecales; Arecaceae.
UUUGAUCCAUUUAUCAUGAUAGUAGAUAGAUUUAGCCCCCUAAAUAACUACAUUCUGAUGACCAGGCGAUUGUCAGUUAUAUAUUGAAUGUUCAACUGAGACUUUUCCUGUUUAAGCAGGUAACUGCGUAACUUUUUUUUUGUGCCUUUGUAGGUUCUACCAAAUACAAAUCUCGCCAGUCAUGCGUUUCAAAUGCAAAAAAGUAGUAAAGACAAGUAUAAGAUAGACAGAACGAAAGGAAAUGCCUUAGAGUUUUUCUUUUACUGGUAUCAAAUGGUUUGCACUUGCAUAUACUGCGCCAGCUAAAUGAGAAAAGUUGACAAUGCCCAUCAAUAUACACAGCUUACAACCUGUGUAGGUGAUUGAACCAGUGAAAGCUUAUCCUAGAACAAAAUGCUGCCCUUAAGACUCUUUGUGAGAACAUUAGAGUGAGAUUCUGUCUUUGAUUUUCUUAAACUAAACAAUGAUCUAGUUAACACAGAAGAAAUGUAUGUAACAGUUCCAAGAGCAACCCA